RNAcentral lists this transfer RNA (73 nucleotides) under Vibrio phage Seahorse. RNAcentral describes it as "tRNA-Gly". It matches the Rfam family "tRNA". From Rfam's summary of the family: Transfer RNA (tRNA) molecules are approximately 80 nucleotides in length. Their secondary structure includes four short double-helical elements and three loops (D, anti-codon, and T loops). The record is from RNAcentral. Lineage: Duplodnaviria; Heunggongvirae; Uroviricota; Caudoviricetes.
GCCUCUGUAGUGUAAUGGUAGCACUCUUGACUUCCACUUAAGCAGAGGGGUUCAAAUCCCCACAGAGGCUCCA